This 468-nucleotide ribosomal RNA is filed under the name uncultured bacterium. Its description in RNAcentral is "partial 16S ribosomal RNA". It matches the Rfam family "Bacterial small subunit ribosomal RNA", at positions 28 to 507 of the family's 1533-position model. The record is from RNAcentral.
GACGAACGCUGGCGGCGCGCCUAACACAUGCAAGUCGAACGGAGCUGAGAGAAGCUUGCUUUUCUUAGCUUAGUGGCGAACGGGUGAGUAACGCGUGAGUAACCUGCCCUGGAGUGGGGGACAACAGUUGGAAACGACUGCUAAUACCGCAUAAGCCCACGAUCCGGCAUCGGAUUGAGGGAAAAGGAUUUAUUCGCUUCAGGAUGGACUCGCGUCCAAUUAGCUAGUUGGUGAGGUAACGGCCCACCAAGGCGACGAUUGGUAGCCGGACUGAGAGGUUGAACGGCCACAUUGGGACUGAGACACGGCCCAGACUCCUACGGGAGGCAGGAGUGGGGGAUAUUGCACAAUGGGGGAAACCCUGAUGCAGCGACGCCGCGUGGAGGAAGAAGGUUUUCGGAUUGUAAACUCCUGUCGUUAGGGACGAUAAUGACGGUACCUAACAAGAAAGCACCGGCUAACUACGUG